This 492-nucleotide ribosomal RNA is filed under the name uncultured bacterium. RNAcentral's name for it is "partial 16S ribosomal RNA". It matches the Rfam family "Bacterial small subunit ribosomal RNA", at positions 29 to 507 of the family's 1533-position model. The record is from RNAcentral.
AGUGAACGCUGGCGGUAGGCCUAACACAUGCAAGUCGAACGGCCGCACAGUAAGGGCUUGCUCUUACGGGUGGCGAGUGGCGGACGGGUGAGGAAUACAUCGCCAUCUACUUUUUCGUGGGGGAUAACGUGGGGAAACUGACGCUACUACCGCAUACGACCUACGGGUGAAAGCAGGAGAUCUUCGGACCUUGCCCGUCUGAAUUAGACGAUGUCGGAUUAGCUAGUUGGCUGGGUAAAGGCACACCAAGGCGACGAUCCGUAGCAGGCCUGAGAGGAUGAUCAGCCACACUGGAACUGAGACACGGUCCAGACUCCUACGGGAGGCAGCAGUAGGGAAUAUUCGGCAAUGGGCGCAAGCCUGACCGAGCCACGCCGCGUGAGUGAAGAAGGUCUUCGGGUUGUAAAGCCCUUUUGUUGGGAAAGAAAAUCAGCAUGUUAAUAUGCCGAUGUUCUGACGGUACCCAAAGAGUAAGCACCGGCUAACUUCGUG